This 497-nucleotide ribosomal RNA is filed under the name uncultured bacterium. RNAcentral describes it as "partial 16S ribosomal RNA". It matches the Rfam family "Bacterial small subunit ribosomal RNA", at positions 28 to 507 of the family's 1533-position model. The record is from RNAcentral.
GAUGAACGCUGGCGGCGUGCCUAACACAUGCAAGUCGAACGGAAACAGGAAACAGCUUGCUGUCUCGCUUACGCGGGGCGGACGGGAGUGACAUGUGUGGGAAAUAGCUAGAAGGAUGGGGUAAAUUACUGAAAACGGAAGUAAUUACGGCAUAACGUUUCAAGACCAAGGUGGGGGAGUUACAGGCGGCUUUGCUUCGGCUGAUCCAAGGAUCCACUAGGGAUUAGCUAGUUGGUCGGGUAACGGCUUACCAAGGCCACGAUUCGUAGCCGACCUGAGAGGGUGACCGGCCACACUGGAACUGAGACACGGUCCAGACUCCUACGGGAGGCAGCAGUAGGGAAUAUUGCGCAAUGGGCGAAAGCCUGAUGGAGCCAUGCCGCGUGUAUGAUGAAGGCCUUCGGGUUGUAAAGUACUUUCAGCAGGGAGGAAGAGAGUAGAAAGUAAACCUGUGCUCAUUGACGUUACCCGCAGAGGAAGCACCGGCUAACUCCGUG